CUACGUAGGGUGCAAGCGUUAAUCGGAAUUACUGGGCGUAAAGCGUGCGCAGGCGGUUUUGUAAGACAGAGGUGAAAUCCCCGGGCUCAAACCGGGAACUGCCUUUGUGACUGCAAGGCUAGAGGACGGCAGAGGGGGAUGGAAUUCCGCGUGUAGCAGUGAAACGCGUAGAUAUGCGGAGGAACACCGAUGGCGAAGGCAAUCCCCUGGGCCUGUACUGACGCUCAUGCACGAAAGCGUGGGGAGCAAACAGGAUUAGAUACCCUGGUAGUCCACGCCCUAAACGAUGUCAACUGGUUGUUGGGUCUUCAUUGACUCAGUAACGAAGCUAACGCGUGAAGUUGACCGCCUGGGGAGUACGGCCGCAAGGUUGAAACUCAAAUGAAUUGACGGGG
RNAcentral lists this ribosomal RNA (395 nucleotides) under uncultured bacterium. RNAcentral describes it as "partial 16S ribosomal RNA". It matches the Rfam family "Bacterial small subunit ribosomal RNA", at positions 523 to 918 of the family's 1533-position model. The record is from RNAcentral.